This 543-nucleotide ribosomal RNA is filed under the name uncultured bacterium. RNAcentral describes it as "bacterial SSU rRNA". It matches the Rfam family "Bacterial small subunit ribosomal RNA", at positions 364 to 916 of the family's 1533-position model. The record is from RNAcentral.
UUGCGCAAUGGGCGGAAGCCUGACGCAGCGACGCCGCGUGGGGGAUGACGGCCUUCGGGUUGUAAACCUCUUUCGGCCCCGACGAAGCGUUUGUGACGGUAGGGGUAGAAGAAGCACCAGCCAACUACGUGCCAGCAGCCGCGGUAACACGUAGGGUGCGAGCGUUGUCCGGAAUUAUUGGGCGUAAAGAGCUCGUAGGCGGUGUGUCGCGUCGGCCGUGAAAACCUGUAGCUUAACUGUGGGCUUGCGGUCGAUACGGGCAUCACUGGAGUUCGGCAGGGGAGACUGGAAUUCCUGGUGUAGCGGUGAAAUGCGCAGAUAUCAGGAGGAACACCGGUGGCGAAGGCGGGUCUCUGGGCCGAUACUGACGCUGAGGAGCGAAAGCGUGGGGAGCGAACAGGAUUAGAUACCCUGGUAGUCCACGCCGUAAACGUUGGGCGCUAGGUGUGGGGGCCAUUCCACGGUCUCUGUGCCGUAGCUAACGCAUUAAGCGCCCCGCCUGGGGAGUACGGCCGCAAGGCUAAAACUCAAAGGAAUUGACGG